AUGAGUCAAAGAACAGCAGUAUGCUUUUCUGCCUUGCAUUCUCCGAAGUGGGUUACUAAUUCUUCUGGAAAGCAGCGAUCUCCUGCACUCUUGGUACAAAUCCAUGUCUCACAAGGAUUACUCUUUCUGAUGGAAAGCACAUCGGAUCGCCUCCCAUCCGCACGUCCUUGCAUGUGUGUGUGCCUAACCUCCUCGAUCUGUUCCUUAUGGCUGAACUCCGCAAGCCCUGAGCCCUGCAAACACUUCAUCCUCGGCGGUCCCGGCGUGGAUUCGUGACAGGAAUCCUGCGAAACUAAUGAAAAAAACGUAGUGUUUUUACAC
RNAcentral lists this long non-coding RNA (321 nucleotides) under Anas platyrhynchos (mallard). RNAcentral's name for it is "lncRNA (ENSAPLG00020007132.1)". Lineage: Eukaryota; Metazoa; Chordata; Aves; Anseriformes; Anatidae. The record is from RNAcentral.